AGAAGUUUGGAUCCUGGCUCAGAUUGAACGCUGGCGGCAUGCUUUACACAUGCAAGUCGAAUGGCAGCACGGGAGCAAUCCUGGUGGCNGAGUGGCGAACGGGUGAGUAAUACAUCGGAACGUGUCCUGUAGUGGGGGAUAGCCCGGCGAAAGCCGGAUUAAUACCGCAUACGCUCUACGGAGGAAAGGGGGGGAUCUUAGGACCUCUCGCUACAGGGGCGGCCGAUGGCAGAUUAGCUAGUUGGUGGGGUAAAGGCCUACCAAGGCGACGAUCUGUAGCUGGUCUGAGAGGACGACCAGCCACACUGGGAGUGAGACACGGCCCAGACUCNUACGGGAGGCAGCAGUGGGGAAUUUUGGACAAUGGGGGCAACCCUGAUCCAGCAAUGCCGCGUGUGUGAAGAAGGCCUUCGGGUUGUAAAGCACUUUUGUCCGGAAAGAAAACUUCGGGGUUAAUACCCCGGAGG
This 467-nucleotide ribosomal RNA is filed under the name bacterium CV17. RNAcentral describes it as "bacterial SSU rRNA". It matches the Rfam family "Bacterial small subunit ribosomal RNA", at positions 1 to 472 of the family's 1533-position model. The record is from RNAcentral.